CCUACGGGAGGCAGCAGUGAGGAAUAUUGGUCAAUGGGCGGGAGCCUGAACCAGCCAAGUCGCGUGAGGGAAGACGGUCCUACGGAUUGUAAACCUCUUUUGCCGGGGAGCAACGGGGUCCUUGCGAGGGCCCGAUGAGAGUACCCGGAGAAAAAGCAUCGGCUAACUCCGUGCCAGCAGCCGCGGUAAUACGGAGGAUGCGAGCGUUAUCCGGAUUUAUUGGGUUUAAAGGGUGCGUAGGCGGACUGUUAAGUCAGCGGUAAAAGCCCGGGGCUCAACCCCGGCGAGCCGUUGAAACUGGCUGUCUUGAGAUGUCGAGAGGUAUGCGGAAUGCGCAGUGUAGCGGUGAAAUGCUUAGAUAUUGCGCAGAACUCCGAUUGCGAAGGCAGCAUACCGGCGGCGAUCUGACGCUGAGGCACGAAAGCGUGGGUAUCGAACAGGAUUAGAUACCCCAGUAGUC
This 460-nucleotide ribosomal RNA is filed under the name uncultured bacterium. RNAcentral describes it as "partial 16S ribosomal RNA". It matches the Rfam family "Bacterial small subunit ribosomal RNA", at positions 338 to 795 of the family's 1533-position model. The record is from RNAcentral.